Molecule: long non-coding RNA, 971 nt
Filed under: Pandoravirus neocaledonia
Description: hypothetical ncRNA
Source: RNAcentral
GCGCCGAGGGACACGGCCUCGGCGCGCAUCGACGCGGCCUCGGCGCGCAUUGCCGGCACGCGCUCGCGCUCGGCGGCAAACCGUGCGCGCCGUUGGUCUAUGGCGGCCUCGAUCUGUCUGAGCGCGUCGGCCUCGGGUGUCGGCGGUUCGCUCGGUUCGGCGGGCGCCUUGCGCUUCUUUGCGGCGCCCCCGCCCGAGGCCUUUGCUGAGGAGGCGGCCACGCGCGCCUUGGCCGUGCGGUCGCCGUUUGCCGUGGUCGUCGUCAUCGCGUCGUCGUCGUCGUCGCUCUCGGUAUCAAAGUGCCGCCGUUGCGCCGCUGUUAACGGGGUACGCAGCCACGUGCACGGCCCGGGGUAAAAAAAAAGAAGAGGGCGAUCGCCGACAGGGUUUUGCCGUGUUGCCGCUGGUGCCUUUUCUUUUUCCUCGCUCCGUCUUUUUUUUUGACCCCUUGCUGUCCCGUCUGACUGGUCGGGAUGGCGCGGCACGCGGUAAGGCCGACAAGCGCGCGCACGGGCGCGACCGCCCCAAAAAAGCUAUCCUCGAAAGGCGAUCGGCCAAAGGGACAACCGAGCGGUGUGGCCCGUCGGUUGAGCGGCGCGGCGAGAGCGCUACCUUGCCUUGUUUUGGGAUACUCACGCGAUCCAAGGGCCGCACGAGGACGCUAAAAAUACGCGCAGACGAUCCCAAAAAAGGUCAAAGCUGCAGACGGGCGGUUCUGUGUGGUCGUCGUGGUGGUGUGUUGAAUGUGUGGAUCUCCGGCUCGCCGAUGUUACCGGGUGCGCGCGGACCUCCCGGCGCCGGUCGGGGCCGCCCGCGCCGCAGAAAAGACGCGCAUCCAAAAAAAGAGACCGGCCGGGAGACCAAACACACGGGCUUGGGUGUGGCCUCACGCGAGUAAAAAGCCAGGUCGCUCUCGUGCGUUUGGCACCCGCCCAGCGGGGGGCAACCGGCGGCGCCCCCGUAAUGCGCCG